RNAcentral lists this non-coding RNA (155 nucleotides) under Azorhizobium sp. 35-67-5. RNAcentral's name for it is "6S RNA". It matches the Rfam family "6S / SsrS RNA". Rfam says of the family: E. coli 6S RNA was the first non coding RNA to be sequenced, but its function was unknown until recently. It consists of 184 nucleotides that fold into an extended hairpin structure with a large single-stranded internal bulge. The record is from RNAcentral. Lineage: Bacteria; Pseudomonadati; Pseudomonadota; Alphaproteobacteria; Hyphomicrobiales; Xanthobacteraceae.
GCGGGGCUGUGGGGUUCGUUAGGAAACAUUUCCCCGGGGCCUUAUCGAUCCUUAAGGGAGCUGUACCUGCCCUCGUCCGUGGACUUGGGCACACGGCGCCCACCUACGCUGUAGGUUUCCCGGGAUCGAGUUCCGACGGCUUUUGCGGCUCCGCA